CCUACGGGUGGCAGCAGUGGGGAAUAUUGGACAAUGGGCGAAAGCCUGAUCCAGCCAUGCCGCGUGUGUGAAGAAGGCCUUCGGGUUGUAAAGCACUUUCAGUGGGGAAGAAAGCCUUGGGGCUAAUACCCUCGAGGAAGGACAUCACCCACAGAAGAAGCACCGGCUAACUCCGUGCCAGCAGCCGCGGUAAUACGGAGGGUGCGAGCGUUAAUCGGAAUUACUGGGCGUAAAGCGCGCGUAGGCGGUCUGAUAAGCCGGUUGUGAAAGCCCCGGGCUCAACCUGGGAACGGCAUCCGGAACUGUCAGGCUAGAGUGCAGGAGAGGAAGGUAGAAUUCCCGGUGUAGCGGUGAAAUGCGUAGAGAUCGGGAGGAAUACCAGUGGCGAAGGCGGCCUUCUGGACUGACACUGACGCUGAGGUGCGAAAGCGUGGGUAGCAAACAGGAUUAGCUACCUGGUCGUC
This 464-nucleotide ribosomal RNA is filed under the name Vreelandella stevensii. RNAcentral's name for it is "partial 16S ribosomal RNA". It matches the Rfam family "Bacterial small subunit ribosomal RNA", at positions 338 to 795 of the family's 1533-position model. The record is from RNAcentral. Lineage: Bacteria; Pseudomonadati; Pseudomonadota; Gammaproteobacteria; Oceanospirillales; Halomonadaceae.